Molecule: non-coding RNA, 6047 nt
Organism: Vicugna pacos (alpaca)
Lineage: Eukaryota; Metazoa; Chordata; Mammalia; Artiodactyla; Camelidae
Source: RefSeq, a predicted model, not a curated record
CGGCUGUCACCGGCUGCGCCGCCUCUGGUCCCUUUCGGCCGCCGUACGCGCGCAGGCGCGUCGGCGCCGCGUCGCCUCGGCUUCCCUUAGUCCCGUGAACCGCUCCUGAGGUGACCAACGGUGACCGCGAGUGCAGGUCAGAGAAACAUGGCAGCAAGGAGAAUCACACAGGAGACUUUUGAUGCUGUAUUGCAAGAAAAGGCUAACCGAUAUCAUAUGGACCCCAGUGGUGAGGCUGUAGGUGAAGCUCUUCAGUUUAAAGCUCAAGAGCUUCUAAGGACAGUCCCAAGAGCCAGAGCAGAUAUGUAUGAUGACAUUCACAGUGACAGCAGAUAUACUCUGGGGGGAUCUGUAGCUCAUCCUCGAGACACUGGGAGAGAAGGCCUGAGAGGUGAUGUAUUUCCAGGACCUUCCUUCAGAUCAAGCAACUCUUCAGUAAGUGAUGACAGCUAUUUUCGCAAAGAAUGUGGCCGGGAGCUGGAAUUUUCCCACCCUGAUUCCCGAGACCAGGUCUUUGGCCACCGGAAAUUGGGACAUUUCCGUUCUCAGGACUGGAAGUUUGCACUCCGUGGCUCUUGGGAACAAGACUUUGGCCACGCAGUUUCUCAAGAAUCCUCUUGGUCGCAGGAGUAUAGUUUUGGUCCUUCUGCAUUACUGGGGGACUUUGGUUCCUCCAGGCUGAUUGAGAAAGAGUGUUUGGAGAAAGAGAGUCGGGAUUAUGACGUGGACCGUCCAGGGGAGGCAGACUCUGUGCUCAGGGCCGGUGGCCAAGUCCAGGGCAGAGGCCGAGGUCUAAACAUUGUUGACCAGGAAGGUGCCCUCCUAGGAAAAGGGGAGACCCAAGGCCUGCUCACACCUAAAGCGGGGGUCGGGAAACUUGUCACGCUGAGAAAUGUGAGCACCAAAAAGGUACCCACUAUAAGUCGUAUCACUCCCAAAACUCAGGGCACUAACCAAAUCCAGAAAACCACCCCAAGUCCUGAUGUGACCCUGGGGACAAACCCAGCGACAGGAGAUAUCCAAUUCCCCACUCAGAAAAUCCCUUUGGGGCUUAAUCUGAAGGAUAUUCGGCUCCCCAGAAGAAAGAUGAGCUUCGACCUCAUAGAUAAGUCUGAUGUUUUUUCGAGAUUUGGGAUAGAAAUAAUCAAAUGGGCAGGAUUCCACACCAUAAAAGAUGAUGUUAAAUUUUCCCAGCUUUUCCAGACUCUCUUUGAACUUGAAACCGAAACCUGUGCUAAAAUGCUUGCCUCAUUCAAAUGUUCUUUAAAACCAGAGCACAGAGAUUUUUGCUUUUUUACUAUCAAAUUUUUAAAGCACUCUGCUUUGAAAACUCCCAGAGUUGAUAACGAGUUUUUAAACAUGCUUUUAGACAAAGGUGCUGUGAAGACCAAAAAUUGCUUUUUUGAAAUCAUAAAGCCCUUUGAUAAAUACAUAAUGAGGCUUCAAGACCGGCUUCUGAAGAGUGUCACACCACUGCUCAUGGCCUGCAAUGCCUACGAGCUGAGUGUCAAGAUGAAGACCCUCAGUAACCCUCUGGACUUGGCUGUUGCCCUGGAGACCACCAAUUCUCUCUGCCGGAAGUCUUUAGCCCUUUUGGGACAGACGUUCUCCUUGGCCUCUUCUUUCCGGCAAGAGAAAAUCUUAGAAGCUGUCGGCCUCCAAGAUAUAGCUCCCUCUCCUGCCUCAUUUCCAAACUUCGAGGACUCUACUCUGUUUGGAAGAGAGUACAUUGAUCACCUGAAGGCCUGGCUGGUCAGCAGUGGGUGUCCACUCCAGGUUAAGAAAGCCGAAACCGAGCCAACUCGAGAUGAGGAGAAAACGGUUCCUCCUGCCAAACCCGAAAUUCAGGCCAAGGCUCUGGGUGGUCUGAGUGAUGUGGUCCCCCAGCGAGCAGAUCACAAGGUGGUGGACACCAUUGACCAGCUGGUCACACGAGUCGUUGGAGGCAGCCUGUCUCCCAAAGAGAGAGCUCUUCUUAAGGAGGACCCUGCUUACUGGUUUUUGUCUGAUGAUAAUAGUCUGGAGUAUAAAUAUUACAAGCUGAAGCUGGCAGAAAUGCAGCGGAUGAGCCAGACUUUGCCAGGAUCGGAUCAGAAGCCGAUGGCGGCCGAGUGUGCAGUCCGGGCCAUGCUGUAUGCCCGGGCAGUUCGGAGCCUCAAGAAGAGGCUCCUCCCGGGUCGGCGGCGGGGGCUGCUUCGAGCUCAAGGACUCCGGGGCUGGAAGGUGAGGAGAGCAACCACCGGGACCCAGACCCUCCUCUCCUCAGGCACCAGGUUGAAACACCAUGGCCGGCAGGCUCCAGGCUUCUUGCAGGGAAAGCUGCCUCAGCCAGAUGGAAAUGAUGCUGCCAAGGAUUGUCCACCAGAUCCUGCCAGACCCUCUCCUCGGGACCCCAGCCCAGAAGCCUCAGAUCCAUCCCUGAAGCCAGUAGGCGUGGAUGUCUCUGAAGCCCCUCAGACUUCCUCUCCCUGCCCGUCUACUGACAUUGAUGUGAAAACAAUGGAGACUGCAGAGAAACUUGCUAAAUUUGUUGCUCAGGUGGGACCAGAGAUUGAACAAUUCAGCAUAGAAAACAGCACCGAUAACCCUGACCUGUGGUUUCUACAUGACCAAAAUAGUUCAGCUUUCAAAUUCUAUCGAAAGAAAGUAUUUGAACUGUGCCCAUCGAUUUGCUUUUCAUCAUCUCCGCUGACCCUCCAAGCCAACGAGAGCGCUGAUUCUCAGGAGAGCCCCCUAGAACCCAUGGAAGGGGAAGGAGAGUUUGAGGACGAACCCCCUCAGCAUGAGGCCGAGCUGGAGAGCCCAGUGAUGCCUGAGGAGGACGAGGACGAGGAGGACGAAGAGGAGGAGGAUGAGGAGGGGGGUGAGGAGGUCCCCACUCCUGGAGAGGCCUCCAGGCCGAUGGGCGGGUCUACCAAGUCCGAGUGCUCUGAGGGCAGCCCCCCUGCUGAUGGCCUCCUGAGUGAAGUGGCCGAGGAUGGCCCUGCUGGUGCGCCCGCCCUGUCACAGGCUUCCUCAGGGGCCUGCUUUCCCCGGAAGAGGGUCAGCAGCAAGUCAUUGAAGGUCGGCAUGAUUCCAGCUCCCAAGAGACUAUGUCUCAUCCAGGAGCCGAAAGUUCACGAACCAGUUCGAAUUGCCUAUGACAGGCCUCGGGGUCGUCCCGUGUCCAAGAAGAAGAAACCCAAGGACUUUGAUUUCACUCAGCAGAAGCUGACCGACAAGAACCUGGGGUUCCAGAUGCUACAGAAGAUGGGCUGGAAGGAGGGCCACGGCCUGGGCUCCUGUGGGAAGGGCAUCAGGGAGCCCGUCAGCGUGGGAACUGCCUCAGAAGGGGAGGGGUUGGGUGCCGACGGGCAGGAACACAAAGAAGACACGUUUGAUGUGUUCCGUCAGAGGAUGAUGCAGAUGUACAGACACAAACGGGCCAACAAAUAGGUAUGUGUGUGAGCUAGUGUGUGGGGCAGACUGCCUAAGCUGACGUUCUGGUUCGCAGAGAGGCUUCCUCCAGAAGAGUUGGUGUGCCCCAUUCCUCAAAAACCAAACAUCAAAAUAUCACCCCCCAAAAAAUUCAAAAAAUUCCAUGAGGGAAAAAAAAGGAGUGUUUGGAUGCAGAUGUAUCCCACCUCUCGCCUUCCAGGUUUGCCUGAAGGAGCGAGCCCCAUGCUCUCCAAGAGCAGCUGUGUGCAGCCCAUGGCGGGGCCUCAGCUCAGGGCUCCCAGGCUCGACUGCACGUGGCCAUCUUGUGGAAACAAGCUGCCACAGGAGUGGCCUUGUGUCCUGCAAGUAUGAAAACCAUUGGUGAAAAAAGAUAAGCUUGAAGCAGCAAUUACUCUUAUAACGCCACCUCUGUCCUGGAUCUGCCCUGGAACCAGUGCCCAAGUAGGUUUGGUGUGUACGUGGAAAACAAACUACAGUUUCUGGUGCAGAGGGUCCACCUGCUGGCUUUUCUUUUUCUUAAAAAAAGAGAAUGCACCAUUUUCAGUCUGCUUUGGCCUUUUCCCCCUCUUCCAAAUGCUUCUGGCAGCAGGUCCUCUCCAAGUCUUCCCUGGUUCCCCUCAGAAGGUGGGGCUGCCCUUGAAAGCACCAGUGCCUUAUAAGUGCUCAGGAACUCCUGUCGGUUUUCCUGUCCCAGGACACGUUGCUCUCUAAAAGUGAUCUGUUAGCAAACUUGAUGCUGAAACAGACAAUCACAGAUCAUAUCUUCUCAAAUUUAAAUAGGGAACGUAAAUCAGUAAUAAUGAAGUCCAUGCUCUGGUCCCACAGCCUGUCAGUUGGAGUGCUAGAGCCCUUUGAACAAGUGGAGAUACUUGAUUCAAUGAACGUGUUAUUUAUGGAGUCUCAUCUCUUAAAUGCAUCCCAAGAGACUUAAUGAAAUUUCAGCAACGUAUUCAGCAGCUAUAUUCAGUGGGGAGUAAUCAUUACACUGAUGAAACUUUCCCCAAAUUUACAUGUCUCUUUAGAAUCCUCAAAGGAAACUCGUUUUUCUUUUUUUUCCCUAAACCACAUAUGGAGUCUCCUACAAAGGGGUGGGAGGUGUAAACUCUUCAAGACACUUCAUUUUUUGCAUAUGUGGCAGUGUAAAGAGUUGUUUUAUUAGGGCCUUUGUACAGAGCAGAAAGGAUCCUCUUGGGGUGGGCUCUGCAGCUGUUUGCUAUUUGAAGGCAUACGAUGGCCGCCCCUUCCAGCUUCCCGCACUCUGCUUCUUGCAGCUACAUGCGAAAUUCUCAGGCUGUGGGAAUCUCUCAACCCUUCCUCAUAAAACAGCAGUGUUGAAGUUUUAAAUAUGUGCCAAAAUCUGGAAAACUUGGGAUCCUGCUGAUACUGCAAGCUUGGGGAACACAGCAGUGAGUUAUCCUGUUGGCCACUUCUAUUGGCUGUUAAGAAAUCCUUGCUUUCUCAAAGCCGCAGAUCUCCUGGGCUGAAGUCCCAGGCUCCUCUGGUUCUGUCUUGUCUGUCUGGCCUGCGCUCAUCGGCACAGUGUCACAGGCCUGUCAGCAUCUCAUGUGCCCACCUGAUGCUGCCUUUCUUCAUGUCAGGUGUAGUCCCUAGGGUUCUGCUUGUUUCUGGUCACUUUUGUUGCUUUGGCAACUGGCAGAUCUUAAUGGCCAACAACACGCUGGAGGUGCCUUAGCAGAAUUGAAACAGCCGGCAGGCAUGGUGUGGUUUUGAGAUUCAUUUUUUCCUCUCUGCUAAUCCUUCCUGUAGCCUUCCCUGUUGGCUGUGGGUUAGUGGUAGAACCUUCAGAACAGGGCCUUGGUCCCCUGUGGCCUUUCACAGAGCACCUGUUGGCCCUAAGUGAUGCAUGCACCCUGCCCAGCAUGGGUUCUGGCCCUUUCAAGCAUAGCUCUGACUAUCAUAUUCACUUUGUCUUAGUGGGCUUAUUCUUGGCUUUCUCUGCUUUUAUUUACAAGUAAAAUACUUUAGGAAUUCCCAGGGUUUGAGCCCUGUUCCCACAGCCUCCAGCCACUCCUCCUCCUGGGGAUGUCUUGCUUUGAGCUGACACUGUGAGCCUUUGGCAGAUGUCAAAGGGAAUACAUACUUCUUGAGCCUGGAAAGUCCUGUGAGCACUCAGGUGAUGCUUCUAUGGAGUUGACUUUGAGGCAGUGCAGGCACUGCGGGAGCUGGGGUGGAGCGUGGUGGUGCAUCCUCAGGGAGACCAGUGUGCUGGCUCUCCGCACCUGCCCUCGCUCUCUCCAGCAGAGGCCGCUCUGCAGGGAGCGGGCGUGCAAGCGAGCGCGAUGUGCAGUUGCAUAGCCUUGUCAAAGUCACAGUGUCUUUUCUGUCAUUCUAGUUCCAGGGUCUCUUCCGUGAGGACGACAGGCAUCCGGAAAGUGUUAACUCGCCACUUUGGGUGCUUACUGUCUCUGCCUUGUUUCCAUCACUGGAAAUCAUAUAUAGAGAAUUUUAGCAUUUUUGGUCCUUGGUAAAACCUAGAAGAUGUUUGUGAUGUUACAAAGUGGAAGUUUUUUUCUUUCUUUUUUUUAAUCUGAGAAGUUGUGAAUGUUGUUAAUCAUUUAGCAGUUGAAAUAAAUGUAGAGGAAACCCAA